Non-coding RNA from Paramuricea clavata, 855 nucleotides. Lineage: Eukaryota; Metazoa; Cnidaria; Anthozoa; Malacalcyonacea; Plexauridae. The record is from the annotation of a GenBank genome assembly.
CUUCAAUAUAGAUCCAGAAUGACAACUUCCAAAUCAUUGAAAAUUAUCUUCACCAUUUGGUUGAUUUCAGCUGCCAUUGCCACCUACGCCGCCACUCCUGAUUCAGGAAGCAGCUAUGGACCGGUCUGCAGCACCACCGAUUUUGAUAAAAUGAAAGGAUACCAUACAUUUCAGGCAAUAAGUCUGCUUCUAUCCACCGUGGUUAUACUGGUUGUGUACGUUCUCAUUUUUAUUGUUGCCCAAAAACGACAAAAUAUGCUGAGAAAUGGCGAACUGGGGCAAACCUGCAAUGAUCGGAACCAACAAAGUGCCUUACUUCAAGAUCUGAAGAUAUAUCCGAAUGUUGUUGGUCGUCGUGGGAAUGUUUAUACUUUGUUGGGGUCCUUUCGUUACUGGUAUGUUGCUUUGGUUCUACCAUCCAAAUUUGUUUGAUUUCGAUAGCACGUCAUUCAACUACCGACGUCGGAUUCGCAUAGCUACAAUAGUAAUAACCUUACUUCCAUAUUUCAACAGUCUGUUCAAUCCAAUAAUUUAUGCCCGUCUCGACCAAACGUACAGAGAGGCUUUCAAAAAUCUGCUUCAUCGAAUGUGUCGAUCAAGCCCAAGAAGACGACAACCACCUGCGGUAACAGAGUUACCUCCACUGAGAACAAGAUAAGCCAACAUUUCAUUAACAUUUUAUAAAUACUUAAUUUUCAUUUCAUAAAUACUUAUGUCCUUACUCUGAAGGAGAAAUGUGUUUAUAAAAGGUUGCGCUCGUGGUGUAACAAACUUAAAAGAAGAUGAGGUCAAGUCUGUCCUGCGCAUGCACAAUAUGAGGACCUAGCUUUGGUGUAAACAGUACUCAAAUUUCGC